Non-coding RNA from Delphinapterus leucas (beluga whale), 529 nucleotides. The record is from RefSeq and is a predicted model, not a curated record. Lineage: Eukaryota; Metazoa; Chordata; Mammalia; Artiodactyla; Monodontidae.
UGAAGGGCCGAGGCUGGGGGUCCCUUUCCCCUUAAAGUCGCCAGAUUCCAGGCAGAGCUUCUUGGAGGGCCUAUCCGUCCCGCAGCGGUGGCUUCCUUCGAAGACCUGAGCUGGGAUUGGGUUCAAGGGAUUCUCUCUUGUGGUUAUCCAGGGCUGAAGGAGACUGGCGGGUUGCGACGUGGAGAUAAGUCACGGAUCGUGGGGCCAGGUGCAGCUCACGAGGCACAGCCGAAAGGCCAAGAGCAGGCAGCAGGGUAUGAAGAGCUUGCCCCGGGGCUCGCGGGGACUCCUCCUGCGUUCCCAGUAUGCCAGUACCCCAAAGUGCCCUGCAUUUGCUCUUUGAACAAAGUUCUGUUUGUUGAUGGACUGACCGGCUUACUGACGUAAAGAUGAGGAGCAAACAGAGGGACAGAUCAAGGCCCUUCCUCGACGCCUGGAGGAAGCUGGGGCCAGUGCUCUGGACGCCAGCCCCCGCUCGGGAGAGGGUCUGGAAACCGCGACAGCGUCUCUGCGGAAGGCUCCGGAUCCG